Molecule: ribosomal RNA, 477 nt
Filed under: uncultured bacterium
Lineage: Bacteria
Description: SSU rRNA
Rfam family: Bacterial small subunit ribosomal RNA
Source: RNAcentral
AGGACGAACGCUGGCGGCGUGCUUAACACAUGCAAGUCGAGCGGUAAGGCCUUUCGGGGUACACGAGCGGCGAACGGGUGAGUAACACGUGGGUGACCUGCCCUCCACUCUGGGAUAAGCCUUGGAAACGGGGUCUAAUACCGGAUAUGACCUUCCUCCGCAUGGGGGUGGGUGGAAAGCGUUUAGUGGUGGGGGAUGGACCCGCGGCCUAUCAGCUUGUUGGUGGGGUAGUGGCCUACCAAGGCGACGACGGGUAGCCGGCCUGAGAGGGCGACCGGCCACACUGGGACUGAGACACGGCCCAGACUCCUACGGGAGGCAGCAGUGGGGAAUAUUGCACAAUGGGCGGAAGCCUGAUGCAGCGACGCCGCGUGAGGGAUGACGGCCUUCGGGUUGUAAACCGUCUUUCACCUACGACGAAGCGAGAGUGACGGUAGUGGGAGAAGAAGCACCGGCCAACUACGUGCCAGCAGCCGC